GGCGGACGGGGCUCUGCUCCGCAGCCCGGUUCUUCCUCGGGCAUCAGCGCCGGAGUCGGCGGGACGGGAGAAGAGGAGCUGCAACGAAAGCGGAGAGCGGAGUCGGACGGCACCGGGUCGAGGGGGAGAACGAGGAGGAGAAGCGGGACCGCGCAUCGCGGCACAGGGAGCUCUCGGCUCCUCCGCUGUCCGGGCUCCUCUCCCGGCUCGCUUCUCGCUGCCAGGAGAACCUGGCGCCGGGCCGCCUACAGACACGGCCGUACCUCGCCGUGAGCGGAAGGCGCGUCCUCUUUUCCCCGACGCUCGCCGCCCGGCUCGGGGCUUUCCCGGAGCUCGGAGCUCCGCCGGGCACGGCGAAGGGCCAACCGGACCCUGGGGCGCAUCAGGCCCAGCGCUGCCCAGGAAAGGACUGACCCGCUCUGCUCUGCUGCGCCCGCUGCGGCCCGUGAGAAUGUUCGACGCCGCUUCCUCAAGCGGUUGCAUUCUCCUUGGGAUCUGUGCCCGGCGGUGCCCACAGCCUGCCCUGCUGCGCGGUGAGAAGGCAAGUCCCAGCCUGGGCUCAGACGGCGGCAGGCCCUCGUUGCUCUUGGUUCCCGAGGCUUCCGAGGUAACGCUUCGGCAUCCCCCACUUCGCCAGGCGCCGCUCCCUGCAUCCCCUUGACCUGCUCUGGCAAUCCCUGUGCCUGGUGUCUUGUGGAAUGGGGCAAUGACACACGGGUUUGGUACACACUUCUGAAAACACGUCCAAAACCCCUUUGUAGGGGUCUGAGGCGGCUCCGUCCUGUCAGAGCUGGGAGGAUCCGUCUGGAGAGACAGCAACUCCUUCUGCAGCUGGAAGAAGCUGCCAAGCUGCCAGAGUCCACCUCUUCCUCCAGGACGGAUCUGUUUGUCUCAGCAGUAGCUGCUGAAAUGCACAGUGCAGAGCUAUGUGGGAACAUGCACACGUGUGGAGACAGAGACUUUCUGACAUUAAUGAGUAAAUAAUCGGCACUGCUUUCACAGGAGAGGUGAUUGAAGCGUAACAAAGUUAGAUAACGUGGAGAAACUUCACCAGUACGAGUGUGAGGAGCCUUGCCUGGUGCGUUCAGCCUGGUGCAUGGCAGUGUUGAGGAGAACUGCCAUCCCCACUUUGUGUCUGUGGAGUGGAAAUCCAUUUUAGCAGAGCUGGAGAAGUAGCUAGCAGUCGUGCUGUGACAAUUUCAAUUAAAGCCUCAAGCAUAACUGGAUGGGAACUGCCGAGUCCCAGCCUGAACUGCUGGUUGAGCACCUGGGAAAGGACUGGGUCAGCCCUGGGAGCACAGGUGAAGGCAAUUCAGUGUAUGAUAGGAAGAGGUGGAGCCCAGCUGCACCUCUCUUAGACCUCAUUGAAGGGCUGACUGCCAUGGGGGAAGGGUUUCUGGUUGGAGAUCUGUUUUUUGUGGAGGUUUUCUGCAGGCCUGGAUCUUGGAAGAUGGUGUUUUUCAUUCUCCAUUUGUUAAGUCUGAGCCUUCUGAACCGGUCCUCUGGUCUCCACUCUUCCCAUUUGCAUUUCCUGAAGAUUUUGGAACUGCUGGAAUCGCAUUUAUUUUGGGGGAAAAGUAGCUGCAUUGGGCAAAACUGGGAGUGAGUUUUCUGAGAACUAUGCCAUCGUGACCAGAAGUUCUACUAAAUUACUGAGGAUAUUGACAAACUUCUUUGUAGAAGUAAUACACCUCCUCUGGAGACCUGGACUGAGAACCUGAGGAACUGUGUACAAAGCAGCAUGGGAUUAUUUGAUGUGGCUGUAAUGGAGUAGGAUGGGGAGAAAAUAAGAUGGAAAAGCUGGUGGGUCAAGGUGAAGACGGGGCGAUCACUUAUCACUGUGGAAGUCGGUACUCAACUGCGUGUUGUCACAUCUCAUCUUGGCAGUGGCUAUCAUAUAGUGAAAGUUGUAUACAGCAUUUGCCAGCCUGAACUGAAAGCUGUGCUGCUGUCUGCAUGCAAUGGGAAGCUGCAUGAAAAAGCACCGUCUCCAAGGAUGCCUUCUGUACCUUCAUGCCAGUCAAGCAAUGCCCCCCUCUGUUGGUUCUGCUGCCCAGCAGCCAAGCCUGGCUUUGUGUCUGGGGCUGUGAAGUGUCUCAGCUGUUCCCGUCCCUGUCUGCAGUGGCACUGGUGGUGAGGUGCAGUGAGCAGAAAGUGACAGCAGCGAUGUCACCUGUGGUCUGAAGAGACUGGACACGAUUGUGAGAUGAGCACAACAGGAUAAUUUGCUGCACAAAUUACAGAUGACGUUUUGAAAAGAACAAGAACUAGGAUAAUCUAGAAGAACCAAGUGAAUGCUUGCUGAAUAUUGCGUUGGUCAAUAGAGUCCCUCUCGGUCUGCUCUGAGGCAUGAUUAAUUUUCCUGAGCAUUGGCCUUGUGCUUCAUUUGUUUUGUUUCCUCAGACCAUCGUUUAUGGUGGACAUCUGGCAGACAAGAUACAGUGCCAACUGCCUUUGGUGUUCCAUCAGGUCGGACAGGAAGCCUCCUGUAACAAGCAUGGAGAAGGCAAGGAACCAAAAAGAGGAAAGCGUGGAUGAAUUCUGAGUCCCGGCAGAGCAGAAGUUACAGCUGCAGUUCAGAGCAGGGCAGGCACUGCUUUGCACUCCUGUGCCCGAAGUCUGAGUCAGGAUGCGGGAGCACCGAUGGAUGGAUGCGCUGAGCUGAGCUGCAGAUGCUGUACAGCUGGAGAACAGCAGAAAUAUAUCGUGUCUUUUCAGACAAGACUAAGAGAGGUGAGUUUCUUCUGUUGUGAUUGUGUGAAUUUUAAUGUGAAAAGGCAGGACAAGUUGGAUGGGUCUCACUUGAAAGCAACCCAGAGCAGUUUGUCACUUGGAGCACGUGUGGGUGAGGUUCUCUCUGUACAAGGAACGAUGUUUUUGACCUGAAAGUUCAGAACCAGGCGUUGUAUAACUGUAGAGGGUGACAGCAGUGGUGGCUGUCACCUGUACUCUGGUGUGCCUCAAUGCUGCUUAUGGCAGGAAACUGUCUGCAAGAUAACACCUCUCCAAAUAAAUAGUGUCUGUAAAUGCCUUAGCACUCACUAAGAGCCAUGUCUUGGCAAUUAGCAAUUUCCAAGUGGCAAAGGUGAUUGAGGAUGUUUCGUCCCGUGAAAUAUUGUAUCUUUCAUGAGUUGUCAACCUAGCAGAAGGAGCGGGGUUAAGGCUACAGCUUUCUCCUGCAGGCUGUUGCACAGCUCCGCAUGGCCAGCAGGUUAGUAGAGGGAUUUGCUUUUUGUUGGAGCACUGUGGGGGGG
Meleagris gallopavo (turkey) is the source of this 3254-nucleotide non-coding RNA. Lineage: Eukaryota; Metazoa; Chordata; Aves; Galliformes; Phasianidae. The record is from RefSeq and is a predicted model, not a curated record.